Molecule: ribosomal RNA, 849 nt
Filed under: uncultured bacterium
Lineage: Bacteria
Description: bacterial SSU rRNA
Rfam family: Bacterial small subunit ribosomal RNA
Source: RNAcentral
CUGGAAAGCCUGGGGGGCGGGCCUUAACACAUGCAAGUCGAGCGGUAGAGAGAAGCUUGCUUCUCUUGAGAGCGGCGGACGGGUGAGUAAUGCCUAGGAAUCUGCCUGGUAGUGGGGGAUAACGUUCGGAAACGAACGCUAAUACCGCAUACGUCCUACGGGAGAAAGCAGGGGACCUUCGGGCCUUGCGCUAUCAGAUGAGCCUAGGUCGGAUUAGCUAGUUGGUGAGGUAAUGGCUCACCAAGGCGACGAUCCGUAACUGGUCUGAGAGGAUGAUCAGUCACACUGGAACUGAGACACGGUCCAGACUCCUACGGGAGGCAGCAGUGGGGAAUAUUGGACAAUGGGCGAAAGCCUGAUCCAGCCAUGCCGCGUGUGUGAAGAAGGUCUUCGGAUUGUAAAGCACUUUAAGUUGGGAGGAAGGGCAUUAACCUAAUACGUUAGUGUUUUGACGUUACCGACAGAAUAAGCACCGGCUAACUCUGUGCCAGCAGCCGCGGUAAUACAGAGGGUGCAAGCGUUAAUCGGAAUUACUGGGCGUAAAGCGCGCGUAGGUGGUUUGUUAAGUUGGAUGUGAAAUCCCCGGGCUCAACCUGGGAACUGCAUUCAAAACUGACUGACUAGAGUAUGGUAGAGGGUGGUGGAAUUUCCUGUGUACCGGUGAAAUGCGUAGAUAUAGGAAGGAACACCAGUGGCGAAGGCGACCACCCUGGACUAAUACUGACACUGAGGUGCGAAAGCGUGGGGAGCAAACAGGAUUAGAUACCCUGGUAGUCCACGCCGUAAACGAUGUCACUAGCCGUUGGAAGCCCUUGAGCUUUUACUGCCGCAGCUAACGCUUAAGUUGAC